RNAcentral lists this ribosomal RNA (497 nucleotides) under uncultured bacterium. RNAcentral's name for it is "partial 16S ribosomal RNA". It matches the Rfam family "Bacterial small subunit ribosomal RNA", at positions 28 to 507 of the family's 1533-position model. The record is from RNAcentral.
GACGAACGCUGGCGGCGUGCCUAAUACAUGCAAGUAGAACGCUGAAGGAAGGAGCUUGCUCUUUCUGGAUGAGUUGCGAACGGGUGAGUAACGCGUAGGUAACCUGCCUGGUAGCGGGGGAUAACUAUUGGAAACGAUAGCUAAUACCGCAUAAAAUUGAUUAUUGCAUGAUAGUCAAUUAAAAGGUGCAACUGCACCACUACCAGAUGGACCUGCGUUGUAUUAGCUAGUUGGUGGGGUAACGGCUCACCAAGGCGACGAUACAUAGCCGACCUGAGAGGGUGAUCGGCCACACUGGGACUGAGACACGGCCCAGACUCCUACGGGAGGCAGCAGUAGGGAAUCUUCGGCAAUGGACGGAAGUCUGACCGAGCAACGCCGCGUGAGUGAAGAAGGUUUUCGGAUCGUAAAGCUCUGUUGUAGGAGAAGAACGAGUGUGAGAGUGGAAGGUUCACACUGUGACGGUAUCUUACCAGAAAGGGACGGCUAACUACGUG